RNAcentral lists this long non-coding RNA (509 nucleotides) under Danio rerio (zebrafish). RNAcentral's name for it is "si:ch211-80h18.2 (ENSDARG00000092300.2)". Lineage: Eukaryota; Metazoa; Chordata; Actinopteri; Cypriniformes; Danionidae. The record is from RNAcentral.
UGCCAGUUCACAUCAAGCCUGAUCUACAAUGUAAGGAACACCAGCAGGCCUUGAAGCCCGGCUCCCGAUAAACUCCUCAGAGGAGCUCAGUGGACGUGUGUCGCUGCAAAGCUAAUGAGCUCCAGAGCUACACAAGCUUUCUUUGUUGUAUUGUGAAAGCUGCUGCUGUUGGCCGGGUCCCUCUUGGCUGGUUUGGUCCUUCAUUGCAGGCCUCCUGCUCUCGCACAACAGCUCUCUGUGUGUCUGAAACCAUAGAUCUGCUGGAGUCAACACGGAGACUGUAGUGGCCACGGGAGAGCAUAUUCCUGUUGUGUUCUCAGAUUUCAGCUUGAUGUUAGGAGGUUUUGUUUGCUGUGAUCGUCCUGAAGCCGCACAGAGGAACAGUGUGGACAGCUGGACCAGCAGCUUCAUCACAGCCUCAAACCGCUUCUCAUUUCCUGACCAGUCUCCAGUGAACCAUCACUGAUAUUAAUCAACCACUCAAUGAUCACAGUCAUCUUAUUCAGUGU